AUUUCAAUUCCUACCGAUCUUCUUAUUCCAUUACAACCCACCUAGGGUUUUUAGUUCAAGCCAAGCUAAGCACCAUAAAGACAACCCAUCUGCCUCUCGGAGACUGUCCUCCUCUUCCUCUACCUUUCUCUCUCUUCCUCAUUUUCUCUUCAAUAAAUAUGCCUACACCUUUCUUCUCUCACAUAACUAUACCAUCUACUACAAGAGAAAGAGAUCUGUGUAUCUCUCUCCAUGUGGUGAAUACGAUUUCAUCAUAUGGGUUCCUGAAUGAAACACUGGGAAAAAAACAUUUGGAUCUUUAAAUUUUUAUUCUUUUCCUGUCAUGAGGGUUUGACAAAGAGUUUCUUACAGAUUUCUUUGGCAUUCUGUCCACCUCCUUCUAUGUAAAUAAGUGUAUCCUGUAUACCUGUAUAUAUGUAUGUAUUGUGUUUUAAAGAGGGAGGUGUGCAUACUGCCAAUAGACAUCUGUUAGGGUUUCUUCGUAAAACCUUCUUGAUAUAUAUACAUAACUUUAUCAAUGUCCUGAAUAGGGUGAGUCUGUUACUUGGCAACGACAGGGCUCGAUCUGGGAAAAAAGUUUAAACACUGGGAUAAAGAGAAGGACCCAGAACUCCAAAAAGGUGAAUGAAGGUGAAUGCAGCACUACAAAAUUUGCGACGAUGAGUUUUGUAAGUUUGCAUGGAGCUCCAAUAAGAGAGAGGCUAUUGGUUACAAAUUUUUCAUUAAUUACGACACGGUGGUCGUUGGUGAAUCUUUUAAAUCUGUAAAAAUUUGUACAAUGAUAUUGCUCUAAUACUUGAUCAAGGAAGAGGUGAAGAAUGAGGUGAUGAUAUCAUAAAAGAGAUUCGACUUAUCAAGCUUAAAAUUCCAAAUCAUUGGUUAUUCAUGACACUC
Long non-coding RNA from Eutrema salsugineum, 894 nucleotides. RefSeq lists it as uncharacterized. The transcript is spliced from 3 exons. Lineage: Eukaryota; Viridiplantae; Streptophyta; Magnoliopsida; Brassicales; Brassicaceae. The record is from RefSeq and is a predicted model, not a curated record.